Non-coding RNA from Nematostella vectensis (starlet sea anemone), 82 nucleotides. The record is from Rfam. Lineage: Eukaryota; Metazoa; Cnidaria; Anthozoa; Actiniaria; Edwardsiidae.
GUUGCGGUGGCCGAGUGGUUAAGGCGUUGGACUAGAAAUCCAAUGGGAUCUUCCUGCGCAGGUUCGAGUCCAGCCCCCCCUA